CCCUUAGAUGUUCUGGGCCGCACACGCGCUACACUGAAGGAGGCAGCGUGUACUCCUGGAUCGAAAGAUUUGGGUAACCCGCGAAUCUCCUUCGUGCUAGGGAUUGAGGUUUGCAAUUAUCCUUCAUGAACGAGGAAUUCCCAGUAAGUGCAAGUCAUAAGCUUGCGCUGACUACGUCCCUGCCCUUUGUACACACCGCCCGUCGCUACUACCGAUUGAAUGAUUUAGUGAGGACUUCGGUCUGGGACCGAUGCGGCUUUCGGGCUGCGUCGGUAUUCUGGAAAGAUGUCCAAACUGUAUCAUUUAGAGGAAGUAAAAGUCGUAACA
RNAcentral lists this ribosomal RNA (327 nucleotides) under uncultured eukaryote. RNAcentral describes it as "partial 18S ribosomal RNA". It matches the Rfam family "Eukaryotic small subunit ribosomal RNA", at positions 1470 to 1796 of the family's 1831-position model. The record is from RNAcentral.